CACGAAGUUAGCCGGGGCUUAUUCUUCCGGUACCGUCAUUAUCGUCCCGGGCAAAAGAGCUUUACAACCCUAAGGCCUUCAUCACUCACGCGGCAUGGCUGGAUCAGGCUUGCGCCCAUUGUCCAAUAUUCCCCACUGCUGCCUCCCGUAGGAGUCUGGGCCGUGUCUCAGUCCCAGUGUGGCUGAUCAUCCUCUCAGACCAGCUACUGAUCGUCGCCUUGGUAGGCCAUUACCCCACCAACUAGCUAAUCAGACGCGGGCCGAUCCUUCGGCAGCAAGCCUUUCCCCAAAAGGGCGUAUCCGGUAUUAGCGCUAGUUUCCAGCGUUAUUCCGAACAAGGUACGUUCCCACGUGUUACUCACCCGUCUGCCGCUCGUCCCCGAAGGGCCCGCUCGACUUGCAUGUGUUAAGCCUGCCGCCAGCGUUCGCUCUGAGCCAGGACUCAAACUCU
RNAcentral lists this ribosomal RNA (451 nucleotides) under uncultured Methylobacterium sp. RNAcentral's name for it is "partial 16S ribosomal RNA". The record is from RNAcentral. Lineage: Bacteria; Pseudomonadati; Pseudomonadota; Alphaproteobacteria; Hyphomicrobiales; Methylobacteriaceae.